CGGAGAACGCUGGCGGCGUGGAUUAGGCAUGCAAGUCGGACGGUAGGGCUUUAUCGUAAGAUAGAGUUUGAGAGUGGCGAACGGGUGAGUAACACGUAGGAAUCUACCCUUAAGACGGGGACAACCCAGGGAAACUUGGGCUAAUACCGGAUGAGAGUGCGAGAGAUUGCAUUUAAAAGGAUGGCGAAAGUUGUCGCUUAGGGAUGAGCCUGCGGUCUAUUAGUUAGUUGGUGAGGUAAGAGCUCACCAAGGCGAUGAUAGAUAGGCGGCCUUAACGGGUGGUCGCCCACACUGGGAUUGAGAUACGGCCCAGACUCCUACGGGAGGCAGCAGUCGAGAAUAGUCUACAAUGGCCGGAAGGCUGAUAGUGCGACGCCGCGUGAGCGAAGAAGGCCUUCGGGUUGUAAAGCUCUGUCUGGAGGGACGAAGGAAGUGACGGUACCUCCGGAGGAAGCCACGGCUAACUACGUG
This 471-nucleotide ribosomal RNA is filed under the name uncultured bacterium. RNAcentral describes it as "bacterial SSU rRNA". It matches the Rfam family "Bacterial small subunit ribosomal RNA", at positions 31 to 507 of the family's 1533-position model. The record is from RNAcentral.